This 385-nucleotide ribosomal RNA is filed under the name marine copepod environmental sample. RNAcentral's name for it is "SSU rRNA". It matches the Rfam family "Eukaryotic small subunit ribosomal RNA", at positions 587 to 972 of the family's 1831-position model. Lineage: Eukaryota; Metazoa; Arthropoda; Copepoda. The record is from RNAcentral.
AGCUCCAAUAGCGUAUAUUAAAGUUGUUGCGGUUAAAAAGCUCGUAGUUGGAUCUCGGCGGCCUGAGGACGGUUCGCUUUAUUGAGUGCUAUUGCUCUAUAGGCCGUUUUUUUGCAAGAUGUCUCUGGGUGCUCUUAAGCUGGUGUCCUGCGAUGCUGGCAGGUUUACUUUGAAAAAAUUAGAGUGCUCAAAGCAGGCUUUUACGCCUGAAUAUUCGUGCAUGGAAUAAUAGAAUAGGAAGUCGUUUAUCUUUUGUUGGUUUUCGGAAAUCGACGUAAUGAUUAAUAGGGACAGUCGGGGGCAUUUGUAUUCAAACGCCAGAGGUGAAAUUCUUGGACCGUUUGAAGACAAACUACUGCGAAAGCAUUUGCCAAGAAUGUUUUCA